RNAcentral lists this ribosomal RNA (465 nucleotides) under uncultured bacterium. RNAcentral describes it as "partial 16S ribosomal RNA". It matches the Rfam family "Bacterial small subunit ribosomal RNA", at positions 28 to 507 of the family's 1533-position model. The record is from RNAcentral.
GACGAACGCUGGCGGCGUGCUUAACACAUGCAAGUCGAACGGAAAGGCCCUGCUUGCAGGGUACUCGAGUGGCGAACGGGUGAGUAACACGUGGGUGAUCUGCCCUGCACUUCGGGAUAAGCCUGGGAAACUGGGUCUAAUACCGGAUAGGAGCCAUUUUUAGUGUGAUGGUUGGAAAGUUUUUUCGGUGUAGGAUGAGCUCGCGGCCUAUUAGCUUGUUGGUGGGGUAAUGGCCUACCAAGGCGGCGACGGGUAGCCGGCCUGAGAGGGUGGACGGCCACAUUGGGACUGAGAUACGGGCCAGGCUCCUACGGGGGGCAGCAGUGGGGAAUAUUGCGCAAUGGGCGCAAGCCUGAUGCAGCGACGCCGCGUGGGGGAUGACGGCCUUCGGGUUGUAAACUCCUUUCGCUAGGGACGAAGCUUUUUGUGACGGUACCUAGAUAAGAAGCACCGGCUAACUACGUG